GACGAACGCUGUCGGCGUGCUUAACACAUGCAAGUCGAACGGAAAGGCCCUGCUUUUGUGGGGUGCUCGAGUGGCGAACGGGUGAGUAACACGUGAGUAACCUGCCCUUGACUUUGGGAUAACUUCAGGAAACUGGGACUAAUACCGGAUAGGAGCUCCUGCUGCAUGGUGGGGGUUGGAAAGUUUCGGCGGUUGGGGAUGGACUCGCGGCUUAUCAGCUUGUUGGUGGGGUAGUGGCUUACCAAGGCUUUGACGGGUAGCCGGCCUGAGAGGGUGACCGGCCACAUUGGGACUGAGAUACGGCCCAGACUCCUACGGGAGGCAGCAGUGGGGAAUAUUGCACAAUGGGCGGAAGCCUGAUGCAGCAACGCCGCGUGCGGGAUGACGGCCUUCGGGUUGUAAACCGCUUUCGCCUGUGACGAAGCGUGAGUGACGGUAAUGGGUAAAGAAGCACCGGCUAACUACGUGCCAGCAGCCGCGGUGAUACGUAGGGUGCGAGCGUUGUCCGGAUUUAUUGGGCGUAAAGGGCUCGUAGGUGGUUGAUCGCGUCGGAAGUGUAAUCUUGGGGCUUAACCCUGAGCGUGCUUUCGAUACGGGUUGACUUGAGGAAGGUAGGGGAGAAUGGAAUUCCUGGUGGAGCGGUGGAAUGCGCAGAUAUCAGGAGGAACACCAGUGGCGAAGGCGGUUCUCUGGGCCUUUCCUGACGCUGAGGAGCGAAAGCGUGGGGAGCGAACAGGCUUAGAUACCCUGGUAGUCCACGCUGUAAACGGUGGGUACUAGGUGUGGGGUCCAUUCCACGGGUUCCGUGCCGUAGCUAACGCUUUAAGUACCCCGCCUGGGGAGUACGGCCGCAAGGCUAAAACUCAAAGGAAUUGACGGGGCCCCGCACAAGCGGCGGAGCAUGCGGAUUAAUUCGAUGCAACGCGUAGAACCUUACCUGGGUUUGACAUGGAUCGGGAGUGCUCAGAGAUGGGUGUGCCUCUUUUGGGGUCGGUUCACAGGUGAUGCAUGGCUGUCGUCAGCUCGUGUCGUGAGAUGUUGGGUUAAGUCCCGCAACGAGCGCAACCCUUGUUCACUGUUGCCAGCACGUUAUGGUGGGGACUCAGUGGAGACCGCCGGGGUCAACUCGGAGGAAGGUGGGGAUGACGUCAAGUCAUCAUGCCCCUUAUGUCCAGGGCUUCACGCAUGCUACAAUGGCUGGUACAGAGAGUGGCGAGCCUGUGAGGGUGAGCGAAUCUCGGAAAGCCGGUCUCAGUUCGGAUUGGGGUCUGCAACUCGACCUCAUGAAGUCGGAGUCGCUAGUAAUCGCAGAUCAGCAACGCUGCGGUGAAUACGUUCCCGGGGCU
This 1346-nucleotide ribosomal RNA is filed under the name uncultured bacterium. RNAcentral describes it as "partial 16S ribosomal RNA". It matches the Rfam family "Bacterial small subunit ribosomal RNA", at positions 28 to 1381 of the family's 1533-position model. The record is from RNAcentral.